Molecule: unclassified non-coding RNA, 397 nt
Filed under: Hevea brasiliensis (rubber tree)
Lineage: Eukaryota; Viridiplantae; Streptophyta; Magnoliopsida; Malpighiales; Euphorbiaceae
Source: RNAcentral
CAGAUCGUCGCUCACAGGCAUGGCAGAACUCUUCCCACGAACCUCAGAGAGAUGCUCACAUUUUACUGUAAGAACUUUCUGCUGAGAAUCAAGCUUCACAGUAACAUCAGAAUAACGUAUAGCCAAAACACGGCAAAGGUAACCCUUCAAAGGUCCUACACGGAUUCUCAAGGUCUGACCAAUGGAGAACAUUCCAUCCUUAUCCCCUCUGUUGAACUCCCGACUAUUUUCCUUUGUUUGCCAUGGUUUUUUAGGUGAUAGAGGAGGAGAUUUGGGGGAUGAUGGGAAAUCUUCAAAGCCUACUGGGCCCGAUUCACCACCCUUUUCACUGGAAGCAUCAAAAGAAAGCUUGAUUUUCUCGCACAUUUGAGCUUUAGAACAGAAAUAACCACCAUUG